UUUAAAAAAGGUGUGGAACAUGAGAGCUGGCUAAGGCAGACAUAAUCUAGCAUGCUCUACAUCUUAUGUCAGAGCUGGACAGUCUGCCAGCUAACAGAAGGCAACACAAACAAAGGAUUGAUAAAAGAACCAGAUUUGAAAAGAAGAAACACAGCAUGGAGGCAAAUGAACAAAAAAAUAAAAACACCAAAAGACAAAAAAUGAAUCCUGGUUGAAAACAGAUGAACCACAAGGAGGCAAACCAAUCCAAGGAGCAGCUGGACAUCACUGCUGAGGACAAUGCAGGAGGUCAAAGAAAAAUCUUAAAGGUCUAAAAAUGGAGGUCACCUAAAGUCUAUAGGCAGAGGGCCAAGGCUGUAGUGGAGACAGAUUAUCUAGAGUAGGACGAUGCUGCUGGGGACAAACUGGAUCUAGAAUGGAACAGUGGCACAGCUUGUGGUGGUCAUCAGUGGAACUGGUCUCUGGGAUGUUGGUGAGAAGGUAAAGAGACGAUGCUUGGAGGGACAAACUGAUUUCAGAGCAGUUUGAGACAGAGGACAGGACUGAUGUAGGGAUUUGGUUUGUGAGAGGAGCCGACUGUUAGAAACAGCUUUCAGAUGCGACUUGGUCUACUUCUAGAUGUUCCUCUGGUCAGUUAGUUUUCAGGCCUACUUUGAGGGAAAGGAACCCUCUGCAGAAAUAUUCUUCAUAUGAUCUAGGCCUGUUCUGACCGCAGUGGAUCUCUUCUGUGUUUUUUGAAUCCCAUGUUGGACCGAGCCGCUACAAGCUUUGGGCCAAUCAGAAGAUGCUGAUGAGAUCUGCAGCGACCAAACCAGAGGAGGAUCAUCUGAGCUGCUGACCUUCACAAAGAGUGAGAGCAUGUUCAACACUGUGGACGUCCAAAAGCAGAACUUCUGUGAGGAACCGGGACAUCCAGGAUGGUGAGGAGCUUCCCAGUCCCCACCUGAGGACGGCACAGAGAAAGACUGGAACAGAAAACACAUGGAGGAAAGCAGGUUGAACAUGGGAGCAGUUUUCUAGCAGCCGGAUCACAUUGGAACAGAGUCCAUCCACACGUGUUUGGAGGAGCUGAAGAAGAGGACGGAGCACAGAGACCGCUAAGGAGGAGAAACAUGGCUCCUCUAUUUCUCUCCAACAUGCUGGAGUCCUGGACUGAAAAACGUUGACGACCCUGCAGCUAAACCAUCAGUCUGCUCCACCCAGUAAGAGAAGAUAACAAACCUUUAUUGCUUCCAGAUGUUCAUCAGUAUUGGUGGAGAUAUUAAAAACAGAUCCAGAACAAACAGAUUUAAAAGAUACAACCAUCCCAUCAAGGU
Molecule: long non-coding RNA, 1316 nt
Organism: Cyprinodon tularosa
Lineage: Eukaryota; Metazoa; Chordata; Actinopteri; Cyprinodontiformes; Cyprinodontidae
Exons: 4
Source: RefSeq, a predicted model, not a curated record